This is a long non-coding RNA of Gasterosteus aculeatus aculeatus (three-spined stickleback), 957 nucleotides long. The record is from Ensembl. NCBI's taxonomy places the organism in Eukaryota, Metazoa, Chordata, Actinopteri, Perciformes, Gasterosteidae.
UCUAUGUUAGGCGAACGUGAUACCACCGCGACACUAAAGAAACCUCGGCUCAAUCCACCACUGGUAUUGCCCUUUUGUCUUUGCAGAAGUACUUUGGAGAAGGUCUUGAACUAACAGAUUCAUCAGGCAUUGACCAUCGUCACUAUGGAACAGUCUAAAUAAGCACCUGCAUGUAUGAGGUCGUGGUUUUCAGCCAGGGAGUGGAGGAUAGAACAAACUCGGCCUGGAGUGAGUAUCCGCCCAAAUGGACACAGUUCAAGUGCAUACUUCCUCUUAAGACCGAAGUUGAGGCUGCCAGACAAUUUUCAGAUGCACUCCUCGUUAGUAUAGUGGACAGUAUCUCUGCUUGUCACGCAGAAGACCAGGGUUCGAUUCCCUGACGGGGAGCUUCUUUUCAAAAGGCAACUACAAACUGUUCACUCUCCUUGGCUUCUCCUGUCCUAUGCAACACAACUCAUGCUGAUUAACACUAUUUUACUACUGAAACUACAGGUCCUGAACAGACUGUUGCUAAAAGCAUGACUCCAGAUUGUCACACUUCUGUCACUUAGCGAAACUGUGACAAUGUUGUCAAAGAAGUGCUGAAUCAAACGAAUGCAUGGAGGAGGACAUCUCUCAGAUGAUGCCAAUCGGUUGGCUUCAUCAGUGGCCUUAUGCACAGCCUGGAAGAGCUGUUUUUUUAUUGACCAGUUGCAAGAAGAUCCACCGCUGCAGAGAAGGCAGGACAAAUGGACAGUGUUUCCGCCCAGUUUCAAACUGGGGACCUUUCCUAUGUUAGGCGAACGUGAUACCACCGCUACACUAAAGAAACCUCGGCUCAAUCCACCACUGGUAUUGCCCUUUUGUCUUUGCAGAAGUACUUUGGAGAAGGUCUUGAACUAACAGAUUCAUCAGGCAUUGACCAUCAUCACUAUGGAACAGUCUAAAUCAGCACCUGCAUGUAGGAGGUUGUGGUUU